GAUGAAGAACGUAGCGAAAUGCGAUACUUGGUGUGAAUUGCAGAAUCCCGUGAACCAUCGAGUCUUUGAACGCAAGUUGCGCCCGAAGCCAUUAGGCCGAGGGCACGCCUGCCUGGGCGUCACACGUCGUUGCCCCCCCAUCUACUCCUUCGGGAUUGCGGGGGGCGGAUGAUGGCCUCCCGUGCGCCUCGUCGCGCGGUUGGCAUAAAUGCCAAGUCCUCGGCGACGCACGCCACGACAAUCGGUGGUUGCGAAACCUCGGUUGCCCGUCGUGUGCGGUCGUCGCGCAUCGAGGGCUCGAAAAAAUUGUCGGGCUCCGGCUCGGCUUUCAACGCGACCCCAGGUCAGGCGGGGUUACCCGCUGAAUUUAAGCAUAUCAAUAAGCGGAAGA
Molecule: unclassified non-coding RNA, 391 nt
Filed under: soil metagenome
Description: partial contains 5.8S ribosomal RNA, internal transcribed spacer 2, and large subunit ribosomal RNA
Rfam family: 5.8S ribosomal RNA (bases 1-122)
Source: RNAcentral